Molecule: ribosomal RNA, 460 nt
Filed under: uncultured bacterium
Lineage: Bacteria
Description: partial 16S ribosomal RNA
Rfam family: Bacterial small subunit ribosomal RNA
Source: RNAcentral
CCUACGGGGGGCUGCAGUGAGGAAUAUUGGUCAAUGGGCGAGAGCCUGAACCAGCCAAGUCGCGUGAAGGAUGACGGCCCUACGGGUUGUAAACUUCUUUUGUCAGGGAGCAAUUGAGUCCACGUGUGGUCUUAGCGAGAGUACCUGAAGAAAAAGCAUCGGCUAACUCCGUGCCAGCAGCCGCGGUAAUACGGAGGAUGCGAGCGUUAUCCGGAUUUAUUGGGUUUAAAGGGUGCGUAGGCGGAAUAUCAAGUCAGCGGUAAAAAUUCGGGGCUCAACCCCGCUCCGCCGUUGAAACUGGGUCCCUGGAGUGCGCGAAGGGUAGGCGGAAUGCGUGGUGUAGCGGUGAAAUGCAUAGAUAUCACGCAGAACUCCGAUCGCGAAGGCAGCCUACCGGCGCGCAACUGACGCUCAUGCACGAAAGCGUGGGUAUCGAACAGGAUUAGAUACCCGAGUAGUC